AGAGAGUCAAAAAGACCGCGAAACCGUUAGGAGGGAAGCGAAUGCAGCUGAAUCGGCUCUGCUCAAGUUCAGGAGCGACGUCGGUCAGCGAUGCCGGUCUGCGAGAGCCGAGAGGCUUCGCUCUCCGGAUAGCUGUCGACUCCUCUGCACUCUUGUGCGAGCCGGCCAACGACGGUCGUCGGCGGCUGAGAAGGGCCUUCGGGUAGGUGCUCGCUCCUCGGAGCGAUACUUAUAGCCGUCGGUCUGGAAGUCCGCGGGCGACCGAGGAUGACUGGCAGUGCGGGCCUUCGGGGCUUUGGGCCGCUCCUGGCCGUUUGGUCACCGCGUGAGGGUCUGCGUGCAGUGCCUGACGACGGAUGAACUCUCGGGCGGGAUGUCGGUGACACGUCGCGCUGCAGUCGUUGGUGCUCGAAUGGCUGCAUCCGACCCGUCU
Molecule: ribosomal RNA, 433 nt
Filed under: Halichondria bowerbanki
Lineage: Eukaryota; Metazoa; Porifera; Demospongiae; Suberitida; Halichondriidae
Description: partial large subunit ribosomal RNA
Source: RNAcentral